AGAGUCGAGUAUAGCAAAGUAGACUCAGUUUGAGCUUACCUAGAAAAUAGCAGCCAAGCUAGGCCCAUUCCUGUUUGCUAGGCAAUUCUGCAGUUUCUGGAAAUUUAAAACUGCCAUUCCCCUUGUGGCAAACAUAUAAAUGAGAAACUUGAUGAUGCAAAAAGAUGGACAGAGGAACUUCAAUGUUGGCUACUUUCUUUUGUUUGUGGUUGAGAUUGCAACAUUAUGAACUUUUACUGAUUAAAAUGAUAAUUUAUUGUUUUGCUAAAUCUCAUGAUAAAUAAUUGAUUGCCUUUUCAUCUGGUAAAAUAUACAGUAGUCUUGCCUCUUCAACAGCAAAAUCAUUUGUAUUUUGAUUAUAAACGCAUAAGGUUUGAAGAAAGCAUGUAAAGUGUUUAGCAUCUAAGAGCCAUAUUAUCUACAGCCUGAUAUAACAACCUUAGAGGGUUCGCUAGGUUGGACAUGAUUAUAAAUUGCAGCUGUGUUAUAAUGCUUCCUUCUAAUGAUAGUUCUCUAGGGUUGAUUAUGGCUGGUUAUUAAUUUCAGGUAGCUAACUGGUUUCAACCUUCCCAAAAUUCUUGCAUGUCCACUUAGUUCAUUUUACGUGUUUAGCUCAUCACAUUUGGCCUUUAACAUUCUCUGAUAUUUCCAGGCUUUGGAAAUAGUCCAAUACAAAGCUAAACUUAAAGGAUCUUAAUUUUAGGCCAAUAAAUACAACUAAGAUAGUUGAAAGCUGUUAUUUUGAGCCCUAGAUUAUAUUAAACAAUUGUCUACCAAGUGAACAUUGAUUCAUGAUACCACUCACCCGGUCCUCACCACCCCC
This 823-nucleotide long non-coding RNA is filed under the name Coffea arabica (coffee). RNAcentral describes it as "long non-coding RNA (CARA_LNC001435)". Lineage: Eukaryota; Viridiplantae; Streptophyta; Magnoliopsida; Gentianales; Rubiaceae. The record is from RNAcentral.